Molecule: long non-coding RNA, 652 nt
Organism: Pocillopora damicornis (cauliflower coral)
Lineage: Eukaryota; Metazoa; Cnidaria; Anthozoa; Scleractinia; Pocilloporidae
Source: RefSeq, a predicted model, not a curated record
CAAAGGAAUAAAUUGUAUCUUGUCAACACACACACAGGGAGUAAGAAUAAAUUCAUGAUUUGCCUCCAAGGCAAAGGGUAAUUAAAAUUUUUAAAAUAGGCUUUUUUCUUCAGCUUGUUUUAAGUUUUGAUUAAUGAUUAGGUAUCAAAUCAUGGUUAAAUUAUUAGGAACAUAACCUCGUUGGAGUUACCAACAAAUUUUUUGUUUCGAACGGAAUUAAUCAAAUUCACGCGAACGGCUAAAAGCUCCUUUAAACAAGAGAGUAGAAAGCUCUUUGUUUCGUACCAAAGUAAAUGCGAAAUUGACAACUGAAACAAAAGUUUUCCAACUCCUGGAAGACCCUACGAUACCCUGAGAUCUGCUGACAAAAGUCGUAAUACUAACAAUUGCCUUCUAUUGCUCGCAUCUCUUUCACUUAUAUGAAUUUUCAUAUUUGAUUAGUUUACCUUCAACGAUAAGAUUCCCUACUCAACAUUUCUUGGAAAUCUCAGUCUUCGAUUGCUGUAAAUGAGGAUGAUGAAUUUGAAGGUUUUCUUGGGGAUUUUUGCUUUACACAUCGCUGCUGUUUGUUCAGUUUCCUCAGCUGACUCCUGCUUUUCUUAUCCGUUCCACGACGCCAUUUUGGCAAAGGUCUUUACGUCAGAAUUAUCUG